UACGAAGGGUGCAAACGUUGCUCGGAAUUAUUGGGCCUAAAGCAUCCGUAGCCGGUUUUACAAGUCCCCCGUUAAAUCCAGCUGCUUAACAGAUGGGCUGCGGAGGAUACUAUAAGACUAGGAGGCAGGAGAGGCAAGCGGUACUCAGUGGGUAGGGGUAAAAUCCGUUGAUCCAUUGAAGACCACCAGUGGCGAAGGCGGCUUGCCAGAACGCGCUCGACGGUGAGGGAUGAAAGCUGGGGGAGCAAACCGG
Molecule: ribosomal RNA, 253 nt
Filed under: uncultured bacterium
Lineage: Bacteria
Description: partial 16S ribosomal RNA
Rfam family: Bacterial small subunit ribosomal RNA
Source: RNAcentral